AUACCGCAUAAUAUCUGCGGAUUAAAGGUGGCCUUUGCGCUCCCGCAGAUGGAUGAGCCUGCGUUGGAUUAGCUAGUUGGUGGGGUAAGGGCCUACCAAGGCUACGAUCCAUAGCUGAUUUGAGAGGAUGAUCAGCCACAUUGGGACUGAGACACGGCCCAAACUCCUACGGGAGGCAGCAGUGGGGAAUAUUGGACAAUGGGGGAAACCCUGAUCCAGCAAUGCCAUGUGUGUGAAGAAGGCUCUAGGGUUGUAAAGCACUUUAGUUGGGGAGGAAAGCCUGUGAGUUAAUAGCUUGCAGGAAGGACGUUGCCCAAAGAAUAAGGACCGGCUAACUCCGUGCCAGCAGCCGCGGUAAUACGGGGGGUCCGAGCGUUAAUCGGAAUUACUGGGCGUAAAGGGUCUGUAGGUGGUUUGUUAAGUCAGAUGUGAAAGCCCAGGGCUCAACCUUGGAACUGCAUUUGAUACUGACAAACUAGAGUAUGGUAGAGGAAUAGGGAACUUCUGGUGUAGCGGUGAAAUGCGUAGAGAUCAGAAGGAACACCAAUGGCGAAGGCAACAUUCUGGACCAAUACUGACACUGAGGGACGAAAGCGUGGGGAUCAAACAGGAUUAGAUACCCUGGUAGUCCACGCUGUAAACGAUGAGUACUAGCUGUUGGAUUCGGUGUAAAGGAUCUAGUGGCGCAGCUAACGCGUUAAGUACUCCGCCUGGGGACUACGGCCGCAAGGCUAAAACUCAAAGGAAUUGACGGGGACCCGCACAAGCGGUGGAGCAUGUGGUUUAAUUCGAUGCAACGCGAAGAACCUUACCUGGUCUUGACAUCCUGCGAACUUUCUAGAGAUAGAUUGGUGCCUUCGGGAACGCAGUGACAGGUGCUGCACGGCUGUCGUCAGCUCGUGUUGUGAAAUGUUGGGUUAAGUCCCGCAACGAGCGCAACCCCUAUUGAUAGUUACCAUCAUUAAGUUGGGUACUCUAUUGAGACUGCCGCUGACAAGGCGGAGGAAGGUGGGGACGACGUCAAGUCAUCAUGGCCCUUACGACCAGGGCUACACACGUGCUACAAUGGGUAUUACAGA
This 1079-nucleotide ribosomal RNA is filed under the name uncultured Francisella sp. Its description in RNAcentral is "bacterial SSU rRNA". It matches the Rfam family "Bacterial small subunit ribosomal RNA", at positions 166 to 1243 of the family's 1533-position model. Lineage: Bacteria; Pseudomonadati; Pseudomonadota; Gammaproteobacteria; Thiotrichales; Francisellaceae. The record is from RNAcentral.